UGCGAGGACUACCAACAGGCGGCGUACCUGCUACGUGUUGGUGAUGAGCAAGCUAGCCAAGGGGCAGCAUAGUGAAUCGACGAAGAAGCUGGAAUCCUAAUAGGAGGAAUAUUUUCAACUGGUUUGACGCAUGUUGGAGGAGGCUUGAAGUGGCGGUCGUAGCACAGUCAGUUGGGAGGACCCAACGCCAGAGUCAAAAUUGUUGACAUUUUCUUUGUUAGAAACGGCUGUAUCUGGUGUUCUUAAUGAAGCUGGACCAUGAAGUGGAGUUAGAUCACUCAUUAUCACAUCAACAGGGGUGAUGACACCGGAGGUAGGGCAGCACGCCGGCUGGAGGCUGUCCACCGGGUGGAGGACGUCGCGGACGCCUGGGGCGAGGGCGGCGUGGCGAAGAUGCCGGGGUGAGGAGAGGCAGCAAGUUGGGUGGAGCAUGUCCAGCGGGUCGAGGACGUCGCGGAGACCAGGGGCGAGGAUGGCGGGGCGGCUGGCCGAGCGAGGCGGGGCUGAUGGCCGAGGCGAGGUUCGUGGACUGAUGCUGGCGUUGAUCGUGGAGUUUUGUGGUAUGGUGGCUGCGUUGAUUGUGGAGGUAUGUUAAAUUCCCUGGAAGGGUCAUCGUUGGGCUCUGUAGCAUCCUGGACGGGAGAGUCUGCCGGCAGAACAUUUCUUUUGAACCGUAGAUCUGAUUGUAGUUUGCUGGAUGUAACGUGGACAGUUGGAUGUAACUAAGUGGGUUUGAUCGGACGUGGGGGGUUAUCCCAUGUGCACUUUCCGGUGUGGACGUAGGGAAAGUAAUGUUUGGUGUUUUAAUAGUAAGUAUAGAUAUAGAUAUGAAGCAGAUCUUGCUUCCAUUA
Triticum dicoccoides is the source of this 851-nucleotide long non-coding RNA. RefSeq lists it as uncharacterized. The transcript is spliced from 3 exons. The record is from RefSeq and is a predicted model, not a curated record. Lineage: Eukaryota; Viridiplantae; Streptophyta; Magnoliopsida; Poales; Poaceae.